Molecule: ribosomal RNA, 512 nt
Filed under: uncultured bacterium
Lineage: Bacteria
Description: bacterial SSU rRNA
Rfam family: Bacterial small subunit ribosomal RNA
Source: RNAcentral
GAUGAACGCUAGCGAUAGGCCUAACACAUGCAAGUCGAGGGGCAUCACAUGAAGUAGCAAUACGGAUGGUGGCGACCGGCGCACGGGUGAGUAACACGUAUGCAACCUGCCUUCAACAAGGGGAUAACCCGUUGAAAGACGGACUAAUACCCUAUAACACAGGGGUCCCGCAUGGGAAUAUUUGUUAAAGGACAACCGGUUGAAGAUGGGCAUGCGUUCCAUUAGCUAGUUGGUGGGGUAAAGGCCCACCAAGGCGACGAUCCGUAGCGGGUCUGAGAGGAUGAUCCGCCACACUGGUACUGAGACACGGACCAGACUCCUACGGGAGGCAGCAGUGAGGAAUAUUGGUCAAUGGACGCAAGUCUGAACCAGCCACGUCGCGUGAAGGAAGACGGCCCUACGGGUUGUAAACUUCUUUUAUACGGGAAUAAAGUGCCCCACGCGUGGGGUUUUGCAUGUACCGUAUGAAUAAGGAUCGGCUAACUCCGUGCCAGCAGCCGCGGUAAAUCACA